UACGUAGGUGGCAAGCGUUGUCCGGAAUUACUGGGCGUAAAGGGUGUGUAGGCGGAUAUUUAAGUAGAAAGUGAAAGGUUGGAGCUCAACUCCAACAUUGCUUCCUAUACUGGAUGUCUUGAGUUUCGGAGAGGAAGAUGGAACGACACGUGUAGCGGUGAAAUGCGUUGAUAUGUGUCGGAACACCAAUAGCGAAGGCAAUCUUCUGGACGAAUACUGACGCUGAGACACGAAAGCAUGGGUAGCGAACAGG
This 253-nucleotide ribosomal RNA is filed under the name uncultured bacterium. RNAcentral's name for it is "partial 16S ribosomal RNA". It matches the Rfam family "Bacterial small subunit ribosomal RNA", at positions 524 to 776 of the family's 1533-position model. The record is from RNAcentral.